Labrus mixtus (cuckoo wrasse) is the source of this 208-nucleotide long non-coding RNA. RefSeq lists it as uncharacterized. The record is from RefSeq and is a predicted model, not a curated record. Lineage: Eukaryota; Metazoa; Chordata; Actinopteri; Labriformes; Labridae. The transcript has 2 exons.
AAGAAGCGAUAGAGAGAAAGAGAGAAGGGGAGGGAGAGAAGGUGCUUUUUAAGGGGGACUUGAGAGGUAGAAGAGAGUUGAGCAGUGUAUAUGGUAUGUGUUGAAUAUGUUGAUGUUGAAUAAUGUUGUGGUGUGAGAGGUGAGAGUUUGUGUAAUGAUUAUGUUUUAGCAGAGGUUGACUGCAGCCGGGGUUUUGGGGUUGGUUUGA